UAAACUAGGAUUAGAUACCCUAUUAUUUUAAAUAUAAAUUAUUGCCUAGGUAAUAAUAGUUUUGUUCUUUAAACCUAAAGAAUUUGGCGGUGUUUUAGUCUAUUCAGAGGAAUUUGCCCCAUUAUCGAUAAUCCUCGUUUUAUCUUGCUUAAUUUAAUUAGUAUGUAUACCGCCGUUAUAAGCUUAUUUUUUAAGGAUUUAUUUGCUAGAUAGUUUAUUUUCUUUUAUUUCA
RNAcentral lists this ribosomal RNA (232 nucleotides) under Eurycantha calcarata. RNAcentral's name for it is "partial 12S ribosomal RNA". The record is from RNAcentral. Lineage: Eukaryota; Metazoa; Arthropoda; Insecta; Phasmatodea; Phasmatidae.